Molecule: ribosomal RNA, 497 nt
Filed under: uncultured bacterium
Lineage: Bacteria
Description: partial 16S ribosomal RNA
Rfam family: Bacterial small subunit ribosomal RNA
Source: RNAcentral
GAUGAACGCUGGCGGCGUGCCUAAUACAUGCAAGUCGAGCGAACGGACGAGAAGCUUGCUUUUCUGAUGUUAGCGGCGGACGGGUGAGUAACACGUGGAUAACCUACCUAUAAGACUGGGAUAACUUCGGGAAACCGGAGCUAAUACCGGAUAAUAUUUUGAACCGCAUGGUUCAAAAGUGAAAGACGGCCUUGCUGUCACUUAUAGAUGGAUCCGCGCUGGAUUAGCUAGUUGGUAAGGUAACGGCUUACCAAGGCAACGAUGCAUAGCCGACCUGAGAGGGUGAUCGGCCACACUGGAACUGAGACACGGUCCAGACUCCUACGGGAGGCAGCAGUAGGGAAUCUUCCGCAAUGGGCGAAAGCCUGACGGAGCAACGCCGCGUGAGUGAUGAAGGUCUUCGGAUCGUAAAACUCUGUUAUUAGGGAAGAACAUAUGUGUAAGUAACUGUGCACAUCUUGACGGUACCUAAUCAGAAAGCCACGGCUAACUACGUG